Molecule: small nucleolar RNA, 89 nt
Organism: Panicum hallii
Lineage: Eukaryota; Viridiplantae; Streptophyta; Magnoliopsida; Poales; Poaceae
Product: small nucleolar RNA R24
Exons: 1
Source: RefSeq, a predicted model, not a curated record
GUUGCUGUGAUGAGCCUUAACAUGUAAGAAGAUUCAUAAAAAAGGUUGGAUCUUCAUUGAGAUAUACUUGUUACGUUUGGCUGAGCUAC